RNAcentral lists this ribosomal RNA (468 nucleotides) under uncultured bacterium. RNAcentral's name for it is "partial 16S ribosomal RNA". It matches the Rfam family "Bacterial small subunit ribosomal RNA", at positions 28 to 507 of the family's 1533-position model. The record is from RNAcentral.
GACGAACGCUGGCGGCGGGCUUAACACAUGCAAGUCGAACGGAAAGGCCCUGCUUUUGUGGGGUGCUCGAGUGGCGAACGGGUGAGUAACACGUGAGUAACCUGCCCUUGACUUUGGGAUAACUUCAGGAAACUGGUGCUAAUACCGGAUAGGAGCUCCUGCUGCAUGGUGGGGGUUGGAAAGUUUCGGCGGUUGGGGAUGGACUCGCGGCUUAUCAGCUUGUUGGUGGGGUAGUGGCUUACCAAGGCUUUGACGGGUAGCCGGCCUGAGAGGGUGAACGGCCACAUUGGGACUGAGAUACGGCCCAGACUCCUACGGGAGGCAGCAGUGGGGAAUAUUGCACAAUGGGCGGAAGCCUGAUGAAGCAAUGCCGCGUGCGGGAUGACGGCCUUCGGGUUGUAAACCGCUUUCGCCUGUGACGAAGCGUGAGUGACGGUAAUGGGUAAAGAAGCACCGGCUAACUACGUG